UUUUUUUUUUUAAAUUCAGUUUUUUGAAGCUUGGAAUCAAACUUUUGUGGUCUUCAGCUGUUGCUUCAAUCAAUCAAGAGAGACCCUUCCGGCGAGACGCUCCCCCUCGGUGCGACGGAGCCGCGGCCUGGGCGACGGCGCGAUGUGUUGUGACAGCGGCAGCCGGGGGGGGGGGCCGGCGGGCGGUCACCGCGCGCCACCAUAUUGCCGGGGAUCCCCGGAGACCGCGGAUCAGCGUGCCAGCCUCGCCAAGAAGUGCUAAUAGGCGCAACACGUCUUGCUUUCACACAUUAAGGCGGGCGCGGGGUGACAGAUCGGAGCUGUGAUACCGCCGCCUGCGAGGAAGAAACGAGCCCGGGCCCCCGCCCGGCGCCAGGCGGCUAAUGACGACGGGUCCCGCGGCCGCGGAGCUCUUUGCUCUUUGUGCCGAGACUGACAGCCGUCGC
Long non-coding RNA from Syngnathoides biaculeatus (alligator pipefish), 446 nucleotides. RefSeq lists it as uncharacterized. The record is from RefSeq and is a predicted model, not a curated record. Lineage: Eukaryota; Metazoa; Chordata; Actinopteri; Syngnathiformes; Syngnathidae. The transcript has 2 exons.